This 567-nucleotide ribosomal RNA is filed under the name Triticum aestivum (bread wheat). RNAcentral's name for it is "partial small subunit ribosomal RNA". Lineage: Eukaryota; Viridiplantae; Streptophyta; Magnoliopsida; Poales; Poaceae. The record is from RNAcentral.
AUGAAAAUGGCAAAUAUUUUGCCUUGUUUCAAAAAAAAAAAAAAACUGAGUAAGACAUGUUGGUAUUGUAAAGAACCUUGGAACAGAGAACAUAGAUGUAGACAAGGCAGAACUCUCCAUAUCAUGCAGGAGAUUGAUGAUGAUACAGUUGAAUUAGAGGAACAAGAGACUCCACCUACACCAGAUCAAGCUUAUCACACAACUCCUAAUACCCCAGAACACCCAGAGCAAAAAUCUGAAGUUAUGUUGAUAUAUUGUCAUGCGAUAGCUGGCACAGGAGGCCCUGCUACAUUUUCACUGCUGAUUAAAAUGGGGGGACAUCAAGCAGUGGCGCUUGUGGGUAGUGGCAGUUCACACACUUUUAUUAACUACGACUUUGCUCUUACUGCUAACUGUCAUUUACACAGUACACCAGUUAAGAAGGUCAGUGUGGCUGGUAGGGAAAAUUACAGUUUACUGCCAUUGUCCCUCUCACUACCUAUUUCAUUCAAGGAAAGAAGUUUUCUUCAGUCUUUAAAACCCUGCCCCUCCACAGUUAUGGUAUCAUUUUGGGAUGUGAUUGGAUGA